Molecule: ribosomal RNA, 165 nt
Filed under: uncultured bacterium
Lineage: Bacteria
Description: partial 16S rRNA
Rfam family: Bacterial small subunit ribosomal RNA
Source: RNAcentral
UAGGGAAGUCUUCCACAAUGGGCGCAAGCCUGAUGGAGCAACACCGCGUGAGUGAAGAAGGGUUUCGGCUCGUAAAGCUCUGUUGUUAAAGAAGAACACGUAUGAGAGUAACUGUUCAUACGUUGACGGUAUUUAACCAGAAAGUCACGGCUAACUACGUGCCAC